AUUGAACGCUAGCGGGAUGCUUUACACAUGCACGUCGAACGAGUGGCGGACGUGUGAGUAAUAUAUCUGAACGUGCCCAGUAGCUGGGGAUCUCUACUCGAAAGAGUGGCUACUACCGCCUACUAUUGUAGCGGCCUCUAUCGGAUUAGCUAGUUGGUGGGGUAAAGGGUCACCAAGGCAACGAUCCGUAGCUGGUUUGAGAGGACGACCAGACACACGGGGACUGAGACACGGCCAAGAAGCCGACGGGAGGAAGCAGUGGGGAAGAUGGAACAAUGGGGGCAAGCCUGAGGCAGCCAUGCCGCGUGUAGGAGAAGGCCAUAGGGUUGUAAAGUACUUUCAGUCGGGAGGCGUUACCGACAGAAGAAGCACAGGCUAACUCCGUGCCAGCAGCCGCGGUAAUUC
This 405-nucleotide ribosomal RNA is filed under the name uncultured bacterium. RNAcentral describes it as "partial 16S ribosomal RNA". It matches the Rfam family "Bacterial small subunit ribosomal RNA", at positions 30 to 526 of the family's 1533-position model. The record is from RNAcentral.